RNAcentral lists this small RNA (816 nucleotides) under Rattus norvegicus (Norway rat). RNAcentral describes it as "uncharacterized LOC108349556". The record is from RNAcentral. Lineage: Eukaryota; Metazoa; Chordata; Mammalia; Rodentia; Muridae.
AUAGGCUCUGUGGCAGUAAGACUUAUUCUCAGCAGGGUCCCUCUAGGACAGACCAGUGGGCUAGCUGAAUCAUGACUGGUUUAGGAGACCAGUUCUUUCUCUGUCAUCAGGUUGGCCUGGACACAAAUUUAGAAAUGGAAAGAGCUUCAGGUCCUGGAAAUGCAAGAGGAGGUGACCUGGAUGUUCUGGGCUGUACUCUCCUCAGUAGAAGGUCCAAAGACUGUCUCUGUGUAUCAGCAGAGUGUCUGGGGUUUGCUCAUCUCCUUUAUGGGCAACUUCUGUCCUACGCUCAGGCUGCAGCAGAAAUGCUGACCAGGCACCCAGGUGCAGAUGGGCUCUGACCUCCAGGCUGCAAGGUUGAUCAUCCCAACCCUGCUCACUGUGGUGUCCCUUCACAUCGGGGCUCCAGCCCGUGCAAGCUAAGAACUCAAGCACUAUAUUGAACAAGCAUGGAGAGAGUGGACAUCCUUGUCUUUGUUCCUGACACAGAGAAGUCGAAUUGGUGCCUAGCUGGAAGUUUCACCCGUCCUGACCAGUGUUCAUCGUACUAGAAGGCACUCUGCAUACUACCAGAGGAAGGCAAUCAGCAGUACCACCCAGCUACAAGCCCUGUGACCUACAACAGCAACCUACUUGUAAGAUACACUGGCACAAUCGUGGCACAGAUGUUAUGGGAGUGACCAACCACCUGUCUAUUGCAUUUACGGUCCAUCGCUGUAGUAAUGGCCAGUUAAAUACUCAAAUUGGUCCUGGUGAUGGCGGCAGAGCUCUUCGCUACCUGCCCCGAUGUUUUCGGUUUUUGAAUCACACACACAC